This is a long non-coding RNA of Panicum virgatum (switchgrass), 1706 nucleotides long. RefSeq lists it as uncharacterized. The record is from RefSeq and is a predicted model, not a curated record. The transcript has 6 exons. Lineage: Eukaryota; Viridiplantae; Streptophyta; Magnoliopsida; Poales; Poaceae.
UUGAAUAUCUGAAAAGUUCAUAUAAGCUUCCUAUGAAAAGCUGGCUAUAACAGCUUUUCUGAAAUCGGUGAGAGGAGAGUGUUAUAAAUUAUCUUAGAAGAAUGUGUAACAAAAAAAGAUGCAGAUAUUGAGAUUUUUCAAAAAAAACUUUUUUUACUUCUGUUUUCACUUUGAGCUUGAGAUUAACUUUGUACGUCAAACCACAAAAUUUAAACUAACAUCAACUUAGCUUGGAAUGAUUUCUGAACUUACAGUAUUUGACAAGCAAACUUUUCCUUUCUUGGGCUUGGAUGGGUGAAGUAAUUUAGUCGAACAUACAAUUGUUCAAUAAUGUUCUGGGAAACUUUCAAGUUGCCUAGCAUGUUCUGGGAAACUUACAAGUUACCAAGCAUGUACUGAGUUUGUCUGGUACAGAUUUAUCCCGGCACCUGGGACCCUUCUGCAUCAACUGUGAGCCUGUAAGCUUCCAACCAACUAAACCUGUUGCAGUUCUUCCACUACUGCCCAACACCUGAGUACCUGACAUACUUGCCAUACUCAGUGCCCGGGACUGCACAUGGAGCGUAUUCAAUGUCAUAGCAUGUACAAGGUAUAUGAAUCGCCGCAUUAUGAAACUGUGUAGAGGAUGGGCACAGGGUUCAUGGACCCACUUUGCAUUUCGCCUAGUAGAGGUCCAAGUGUUGAAUCAGACGGCCUAGAACAUGCAGUGUACUCAUUGCUGAGCGAUUCACCCUGAUGAGCUUUGGUGGUGGUGGGGGUACAUGCAUGUGCUUAGUUAAUGCCUUAAUGGCGAUGCCAUCUUCCCUCCAUACAGCCUCCAGCUCUCAUUUAUGCAACUAUACAAGUAGAUGUUUUCUUGCAGGACCCAUGGAUCUCAGAGCAGCCAAAGACUGGACACCAGAAUACUACUUCUUCCAACAAAGCAACAAUCAUAGGACUUCGGCAAUCGGCACUGGGAACAUCUGAAGCCGGUGAUAGGUAGACAGGCAGUAUGGGAAGAGCAGAACGCAACAUCAGCCUUCAGCCCCAUGAUGGAUGCUCAUCUUCAGAGAGAUGUCCAAUCACCGUCGCAUGUUUGCGGUUCUAGACCCAAGCAGAUGUGACCAUUCUCAAUGGCUAUCCAUAGAUAUCAUCCCCUUGUGUUGUGUAGGAUGAAGUCAUAUGGACUUGGAUGGAGAUGGAGUUAGUGCAGCUGCAAGCUUAACUGAAGCCAUCACCUAAGCUGGUGCCAUGUCAUUUUCCAUAGUCUGGGCAUAGAAAAAAGAGAAAAUUGGUUCUGUAGCAUUGAAAGAUGUCGACUUCCGUAAAAUACCAUCGAAAGAGUUCGGCCCCGUAAAAUACCACUGAAAGCUACUACCGUUACCGGAAAAUCGCACUCCGCUAGAUUUUGUUCCUAGAAACCUUUUGGUCUGCUGUUUUCAGAACAUUACACGGCAGCGAAUUGACCUAUCUACCCCUGGCUCGCUUCUUGCCUUAUCCAGACUCGUCUCUCCCCCACAGCCCUGACCUCGCCUCUCCCCCACCCAGGGCCGCCGCCCCCUGUGCCCCCCAUGCCCCACCGGCCGGCGACGCUUCGCCCCCACCAAGCGCCGACGUCCCUGCGCCCCACGCAGUGCGCCACUCCUGCUCUCCCCACGCCCCUCCGGCCAGCGACGCAGCCGCCCCUCGCGCCCAUCCCCUAGCGACGGCCGGCGCCCCCACCAUCA